RNAcentral lists this ribosomal RNA (460 nucleotides) under uncultured bacterium. RNAcentral describes it as "partial 16S ribosomal RNA". It matches the Rfam family "Bacterial small subunit ribosomal RNA", at positions 338 to 795 of the family's 1533-position model. The record is from RNAcentral.
CCUACGGGAGGCAGCAGUGAGGAAUAUUGGUCAAUGGGCGUAAGCCUGAACCAGCCAAGUCGCGUGAGGGAUGAAGGUUCUAUGGAUCGUAAACCUCUUUUAUCAGGGGAUAAAGUGCGGGACGUGUCCCGGUCUGUAUGUACCUGAUGAAUAAGGAUCGGCUAACUCCGUGCCAGCAGCCGCGGUAAUACGGAGGAUCCGAGCGUUAUCCGGAUUUAUUGGGUUUAAAGGGUGCGUAGGCGGCCUUUUAAGUUAGCGGUGAAAGGCUGUGGCUCAACCCUGGAAGUGCCGUUGAAACUGGGAGGCUUGAGUAUGUUAGAGGCAGGCGGAAUGCGUGGUGUAGCGGUGAAAUGCUUAGAUAUUACGCAGAACCCCGAUUGCGAAGGCAGCCUGCCGGGCCAUGACUGACGCUGAGGCACGAAAGCGUGGGGAUCAAACAGGAUUAGAUACCCCAGUAGUC